GUUAGCAUGUAGGGAAUCUUCCACAAUGGGCGCAAGCCUGAUGGAGCAACACCGCGUGAGUGAAGAAGGGUUUCGGCUCGUAAAGCUCUGUUGUUGGAGAAGAACGUGCGUGAGAGUAACUGUUCACGCAGUGACGGUAUCCAACCAGAAAGUCACGGCUAACUACGUGCCAGCAGCCGCGGUAAUACGUAGGUGGCAAGCGUUAUCCGGAUUUAUUGGGCGUAAAGCGAGCGCAGGCGGUUGCUUAGGUCUGAUGUGAAAGCCUUCGGCUUAACCGAAGAAGUGCAUCGGAAACCGGCGACUGAUCCAAGGCCCC
This 316-nucleotide ribosomal RNA is filed under the name Ligilactobacillus agilis. RNAcentral describes it as "bacterial SSU rRNA". It matches the Rfam family "Bacterial small subunit ribosomal RNA", at positions 347 to 655 of the family's 1533-position model. The record is from RNAcentral. Lineage: Bacteria; Bacillati; Bacillota; Bacilli; Lactobacillales; Lactobacillaceae.